CCUCCGGAAGUGACGCACAGCCCCCCGGGGGGCCGGGGGCGGGGCCAGGCUAUAAACCGCCGGUUCGGGGCCGCCAUCCCCUCAGAGCGUCGGGAUAUCGGGUGGCGGCUCGGGCCGGAGGACGCGCUAGUGUUCUUCUGUGUGGCAGUUCAGAAUGAUGGAUCAAGCUAGAUCAGCGUUCUCUAACUUGUUUGGUGGAGAACCAUUGUCAUAUACCCGCUUCAGCCUGGCUCGGCAAGUGGAUGGCGAUAACAGUCAUGUGGAGAUGAAACUUGCCGUAGAUGAAGAAGAAAAUGCUGACAAUAACACAAAGGCCAAUGUCACAAAACCGAAAAGGUGUAGUGGAAAUAUCUGCUAUGGGGCUAUUGCUGUGAUCGUCUUUUUCUUGAUUGGAUUUAUGAUUGGCUACUUGGGCUAUUGUAAAGGGGUAGAACCAAAAACCGAGUGUGAGAGACUGGCAGGAACCGAGUCUCCAGUGAGGGAGGAACCAGGAGAGGACUUCCGUGCAGCACCUCGCUUAUAUUGGGAUGACCUGAAGAAAAAGUUGUCAGAGAAGCUGGACACCACAGACUUCACCAGCACCAUCAAGCUGCUGAAUGAAAAUUCAUAUGUCCCUCGUGAGGCUGGAUCUCAAAAAGAUGAAAAUCUUGCAUUGUAUGUUGAAAAUCAGUUUCGUGAAUUUAAACUCAGCAAAGUCUGGCGUGAUCAACACUUUGUUAAGAUUCAGGUCAAAGACAGCGCUCAAAACUCGGUGAUCAUAGUUGAUAAGAACGGUAGACUUGUUUACCUGGUGGAGAAUCCUGGGGGUUAUGUGGCGUAUAGUAAGGCUGCAACAGUUACUGGUAAACUGGUCCAUGCUAAUUUUGGUACUAAAAAAGAUUUUGAGGAUUUAGACACUCCUGUGAAUGGAUCUAUAGUGAUUGUCAGAGCAGGGAAAAUCACCUUUGCAGAAAAGGUUGCAAAUGCUGAAAGCUUAAAUGCAAUUGGUGUCUUGAUAUACAUGGACCAGACUAAAUUUCCCAUUGUUAACGCAGAACUUUCAUUCUUUGGACAUGCUCAUCUGGGGACAGGGGACCCUUACACACCUGGAUUCCCUUCCUUCAAUCACACCCAGUUUCCACCAUCUCGGUCAUCAGGAUUGCCUAAUAUACCCGUCCAGACAAUCUCCAGAGCUGCUGCAGAAAAGCUGUUUGGGAAUAUGGAAGGAGACUGUCCCUCUGACUGGAAAACAGACUCUACAUGUAGGAUGGUAACCUCAGAAAGCAAGAGUGUGAAGCUCACUGUGAGCAAUGUGCUGAAAGAGAUAAAAAUUCUUAACAUCUUUGGAGUUAUUAAAGGCUUUGUAGAACCAGAUCACUAUGUUGUAGUUGGGGCCCAGAGAGAUGCGUGGGGCCCUGGAGCUGCAAAAUCCGGUGUAGGCACAGCUCUCCUAUUGAAACUUGCCCAGAUGUUCUCAGAUAUGGUCUUAAAAGAUGGGUUUCAGCCCAGCAGAAGCAUUAUCUUUGCCAGUUGGAGUGCUGGAGACUUUGGAUCGGUUGGUGCCACUGAAUGGCUAGAGGGAUACCUUUCGUCCUUGCAUUUAAAGGCUUUCACUUAUAUUAAUCUGGAUAAAGCAGUUCUUGGUACCAGCAACUUCAAGGUUUCUGCCAGCCCAUUGUUGUACACACUUAUUGAGAAAACAAUGCAAAAUGUGAAACAUCCGGUUACUGGGCAAUCUCUAUAUCAGGACAGCAACUGGGCCAGCAAAGUUGAGAAACUCACUUUAGACAAUGCUGCUUUCCCUUUCCUUGCAUAUUCUGGAAUCCCAGCAGUUUCUUUCUGUUUUUGUGAGGACACAGAUUAUCCUUAUUUGGGUACCACCAUGGACACCUAUAAGGAACUGAUUGAGAGGAUUCCUGAGUUGAACAAAGUGGCACGAGCAGCUGCAGAGGUCGCUGGUCAGUUCGUGAUUAAACUAACCCAUGAUGUUGAAUUGAACCUGGACUAUGAGAGGUACAACAGCCAACUACUUUCCUUUGUGAGGGAUCUGAACCAAUACAGAGCAGACAUAAAGGAAAUGGGCCUGAGUUUACAGUGGCUGUAUUCUGCUCGUGGAGACUUCUUCCGUGCCACUUCCAGACUAACAACGGAUUUCGGGAAUGCUGAGAAAACAGACAGAUUUGUCAUGAAGAAACUCAAUGAUCGUGUCAUGAGAGUACCAGAAUGUAUUUCUCCAGUCACCUGCUGAAGGACAUGUCGGUCACCUCCAGUUUCUGAGGGCGGAGCCAGGUGUACAGGAUGGAACAUGAAGGUGGACUAGGAGCGUGACCACUGAAGCACAGCAUCACAGGGAGACGGUUAGGCCUCUGGAUAACUGCGGGAAAGCCUGACUGGUGUCAGGCCCUCCACAAGAGGUGGAGGAGCAGAGUCUUCUCUAAACUCCCCCGGGGAAAAGGAGACUCCCUCUCCCGGUCUGCUAAGUAGCGGAUGCUUUUCCUUGGCACUGAUGCUACCACUAGACACGGGCGUCUUCCCAGACGCUGGCGUCACCACUAGACCAGGGAGCCCUCUAGUAGCCCUGUCCGGGCAUAACAGAAGGCUUGCACUCCUGUCUUCUGGUCACUCCUCACUAUGUCCCCUCAACUCCUAUCUCUGUAUGGCCUAGUUUUUCCUAGGUUAUGAUUAUAGAGCAAAGAUUAUUAUAAUAUUGGGAUAAAGAGUAAUUACUACCAACUAAUGAUUAAUGAUAUUCAUAUAUAAUCAUAUCUAAGAUCUACAUCUAGUAUAACUCUUGUUAUCUUAUAUAUUUUAUUACACUGGAACAGCUUGUGCCCUCAGUCUCUUACCUUGGCACCUGGGUGGCUUGCCGCCCACAUUUCUAUAAACAUUUGUGUGCAAGUUUGUGUGUGGACAUAACUCUUCAACUCCAUUGGGUAAAUAAUGAGGAGCACAAUUGCUAAAUCUUAUGACAAGACUAUGUGAGCUUUGUAAAAAACUGCCACACUGUCUUCCAAAGUGGCUGUGCCAUUUUGCAUUCCCACAGCAAUGAAUGAGAGUUCCUGUUGUUUCACAUCCUCACCAGCAUUUGGUGCUUUCAUUCUUGUGGAUUUUGGCCAUUCUGAUAGGUGUGCAGUGGUAUCUCAUUGCUGUCUUAAUUGGCAAUUCCUAAUAACAUAUUAUGCAGAGCAUCUUUUCAUAUACUUAGUUUCCAUCUGCAGAUCUGUUCAGCUUUUGCCCAGUUUUGAGUUGUUUGUUUUCUUAUUGCUGAGUUUUAAGAGUUCUUUGCAUAUUUCAGAUAUGAAUCCUUAGAUAUAUUUUGCAAAUAUUUUCUCACAGUCUGUGAUUUGUCUUUUGAUUCUCUUAACAGUAUCUUUUGCAAAACAAAAGUUUUUCAUGUUAAUGAAAUUAAACUUUCCAAUUUUUUCUUUGUGGAUCGUGCUUUUGGUGUUGUAUCUAAAAAAAAAAUCACCAAAUCCAAGGUUAUCUAGAUUUUUUCCUUAUGUUAUCUUCUAGAAUUUUGAAAAUUUUACAUUUCAUAUAUUGGUCUAAUAUCUACUUUGCAUUAACUUUUGUAAAAAGUAUAAAGUCUGUUUACGUAUUAUUUUUUGCAUGUGGAUGCCCACUUGUUCCAGAACCAUUUGUUAAAAAGACUCCUUUCUCCAUUGAAUCGUUUUUGCUCCUUUGUCAGAAAUCAGUUGGCUGCAUUUCAGUCUGUUUCUGGGCUCUCUGUUCUGUUUCACUGAUGGAUGCGUAUGUGUCUUCUGUUUUGCCUUCAAUUUAAAAAAAAUCUAAAUAUCUACUUGCUGCCUCAAUUUGCUUAUGAAUUCUCAUUUGUAAACAGAAAAGCAUAAAUUAAUGCCUGAGUAUCUUUUGGGGUAGAUGUUGCAUUGAAUACAGUGAGCAGAAUGAGUUAUAACCUUAAAGUGAAUAUAAAAAUUUGACCAUAGUGGUAAGAGAUUUGCGCACUAGUGACUUCAAUGACAGAGUCCAUUGCAAUAUCGCUUCCUCCUUCGGCUCAGCUCUGCUUCACACCAGACAACGACCAAUCCCUUCUGUGCUUCAUUCAAGGAUUUCUGUGGGGUGGAAAGCAGAAAUAUCAUGAGCUCAGUGGAGGGAGAGAAGGCAGUUUCCCAGGCUGGGAGCAGUCAGUUCUCUGGUGGGUCCCAACACUGCUCUGUAGCAAUGCCUAGAGGGCGAUGGAAACGGUGAAAAUGAGGUGGGUGCCGGCCCCAGGGUUCCCAGUGUUAUCAGGUCCCCGUGGUCUAUAAGAUGCCCGGAAAUGAGAUCUUCUGGGUUUUGGGGGCCCCUGUGGAGUUGGAAAAUAAGAAAGUGAGCAGUGACAAUCCAGACUGGUUAUUAGAGGUACAUCUCCCAUUUUUCAGAAACCAAGGAGCCUUUGAUUAGUAGUGAAAUUGUGGCACUGCAACAGUGGUGGAGUGGAAUGUCCUGCCAUUCUGGAUGGGUGAUGGCUCGGGGUCAAGACUGAAUUCAUUAGAAAAAAAAAGAAGUUUUUUUUUUUUCCUAUCUGAGUUUGUGAAUGAAGAGCUCCACUGCUGUGAAAUGUGCAAAUCAUUGGCUGUUGUUUCUCAUGUGCAUUUCAGGAGUAUCAAGUCCAAAACGAAGCUCUUCAAACCAUCUGGGAAGAGAAAACAGCAUGACAAGGAAAGGUGUAUUUGUCUGAUCCCAGGAAUCAAUAUAAACAUCCAUGAUAACCCCACCUAUUUUUUUAAUGUAUGAUUUGGACGAAACAAGAGAAAGAGACUGAUUGCUGCUGAGUCCCUGCUGCGGUCCCGACACCGCUGGAGACGCCCUGCUCUCCUUAUUCUGUUGAUGCUCAUGAGAAAGACACUGAUGUCUGAGGAAGAAGGUUCUCGUCCACCUCUGCCCCUGGUGUGUCACGUGCCGGCCUUGUCAACGCACACAAGAACCUGACAGGCCUCAGCGCUACAUGCCCUGGGUGGCCCAUGCAGUGAGUCACUGACAGCCCUUGUGGUGGGCCCGUGGCACAGCAUGCAGCGAAAUGGUCCACUGACCUUUGCAGACACUUGGGCAAUUCUUGAUACAGUGUAUGCAGUCACUCCCGAUCCUUGAAGAAUUGCCACACUGUCUUCCACAAUGGUUGAACUCAUUUACACUCCCACCAACAGUGUAAAAUCGUUCCUGUUUCUCCACAUCCUCUCCAGCAUCUGUUGUUUCCUGACUUUUUAAUGAUUGCCAUUCUAACUGGUGUGAGAUGGCAUCUCAUUGAGGGUUUCAUUUGCAUUUCUCUAGUGACCAGUGAUGAUGAGCUUGUGUUCAUGUAUUUUUCAGCCGCAUAAAUGUCUUCUUCUGAGAAGUGUCUGUUCAUAUCCUUCGCCCACUUUUUGAUGGGGUUGUUUGUUUUUUUCUUGUAAAUUUGUUUAAGUUCCUUGUAGAUUCUGGAUAUUAGUCCUUUAUCAGAUGGGUAGAUUGCAAAAAUUUUCUCCCUUUCUGUAGGUUUCCUGUUCACUCUAAUGGUGGUUUCUUUUUUUUUCUUUUGUAUUUUUUUUUGAGACAGAGUCUCACUCUGUCGCCCAGGCUGGAGUGCAGUGGCACAAUCUUGGCUCACUGCAAGCUCCGCCUCCCGGGUUCACACCAUUCUCCUGCCUCAGCCUCUCCGAGUAGCUGGGACUACAGGUGCCCGCCACCAUGCCUGGCUAAUUUUUUGCAUUUUUAGUAGAGACGGGGUUUCACCGUGGUCUCAGUCUCCUGACCUCGUGAUCCACCUGCCUCGGCCUCCCAAAGUGCUGGGAUUACAAGCGUGAGCCACUGUGCCCAGCCUAUGGUAGUUUCUUUUGCUGUGCAGAAGCUCUUUAGUUUAAUUAGAUCCCAUUUGUCAAUUUUGGCUUUUGUUGCCAUUGCUUUUGGUGUUUUAGUCAUGAAGUCUUUGCCCACGCCUAUGUCCUGAAUGGUAUCGCCUAGGUUUUCUUCUAGGGUUUUCAUGGCUUUAGGUCUAACAUGUAAGUCUUUAAUCCAUCUUGAGUUAAUUUUUGUGUAAGGUGUAGGGAAGGGGUCCAGUUUCAGUUUUCAGCAUGUGGCUAACCAGUUUUCCCAACACCAUUUAUUAAAUAGGGAAUCCUUUUCCCAUUGCUUGUUCUUAUCAAGGUUGUCAGACAUCCUAAACUUUUUAAUUUAAGAAUUUACAUUUUUUAAAGUAACUGACAAUCAUUUAAAAAUCCAUGACUUAAAAAAUAAUAAUUCCUCCUAUGUUUUCAACCAAGAGAAGUGAAAAUCUGUUUACACAAAGGCCUGAAUAUAAGUAUUCAUAACAACUUUCUUCUUAUUAGCCAAAUAUUUUUAAAAUAGUCUAUCACUGCAGAAUAGAUAAACAAGCUGUAAUAUAUUCCUACAGUGGUUAUUGCCCAACAUAAGAAGAGUGACAUACACACCAGAAACCACAUGGACAUAUCUCAAAGGCAUUAAAAUAUAUGAAAUAAACCAGGUAUAAGAUAA
Molecule: RNA transcript, 6450 nt
Organism: Symphalangus syndactylus (siamang)
Lineage: Eukaryota; Metazoa; Chordata; Mammalia; Primates; Hylobatidae
Gene: TFRC
Gene name: transferrin receptor
Source: RefSeq, a predicted model, not a curated record